UCUUUCUUCACCGAUCUCACAACAUUUCUGCAGCAGAAAAUCUUUUUCAGCAUUAUCAGCCAGACAAAAUGAGCGACCCCAAGCCAAAGAAUCCUGAAGAAGUCGGUGAACACAAUCCAGACAAUGAAUCUGGAAAGGGAAAGGGAAAAAACAAGGAUGGCCAUGGGCACGGACAAGGUAAAGGAGAAGGCAAAGGACAUGGUAAAGGAGAAGGCCAUGGACAUGGUAAAGGAGAAGGCCACGGACAUGGCAAAAAGUGAAAAAAACUCAUCGAUGUGAUGCAAAUGGAGAAACCACGCACAAGUCAAUAAUUUUGAAUGAAAUAUGUAAUCAAUGUCAAUUUCUUAUUCAAUAAAAUCAUCUAUAAAGCAAGA
Molecule: long non-coding RNA, 374 nt
Organism: Oryzias latipes (Japanese medaka)
Lineage: Eukaryota; Metazoa; Chordata; Actinopteri; Beloniformes; Adrianichthyidae
Source: RefSeq, a predicted model, not a curated record